UACGUAGGGUGCGAGCGUUGUCCGGAAUUACUGGGCGUAAAGAGCUCGUAGGUGGUUUGUCGCGUUGUCCGUGAAAACUCACAACUCAAUUGUGGGCGUGCGGGCGAUACGGGCAGACUGGAGUACUGCAGGGGAGACUGGAAUUCCUGGUGUAGCGGUGGAAUGCGCAGAUAUCAGGAGGAACACCGGUGGCGAAGGCGGGUCUCUGGGCCACUACUGACGCUGAGAAGCGAAAGCAUGGGGAGCGAACAGG
This 253-nucleotide ribosomal RNA is filed under the name uncultured bacterium. Its description in RNAcentral is "partial 16S ribosomal RNA". It matches the Rfam family "Bacterial small subunit ribosomal RNA", at positions 524 to 776 of the family's 1533-position model. The record is from RNAcentral.